Molecule: ribosomal RNA, 253 nt
Filed under: uncultured bacterium
Lineage: Bacteria
Description: partial 16S ribosomal RNA
Rfam family: Bacterial small subunit ribosomal RNA
Source: RNAcentral
UACGUAUGGUGCAAGCGUUAUCCGGAUUUACUGGGUGUAAAGGGAGCGUAGACGGAAUUGCAAGUCUGAUGUGAAAAUCCGGGGCCCAACCCCGGAACUGCAUUGGAAACUGUAUUUCUAGAGUGUCGGAGAGGCAAGUGGAAUUCCUGGUGUAGCGGUGAAAUGCGUAGAUAUCAGGAGGAACACCAGUGGCGAAGGCGGCUUGCUGGACGAUGACUGACGUUGAGGCUCGAAAGCGUGGGGAGCAAACAGG